GCCCCGCACUCAGCCGUGCCCUAGCAGCGGGAACAGUACUGCAGCAGGUGAUUGGUGCUCUGGGGUAUUGUUCCUGCUGCCUGGGCAAGACUGGGACUCCCGCACGGGC
RNAcentral lists this microRNA precursor (109 nucleotides) under Dasypus novemcinctus (nine-banded armadillo). RNAcentral describes it as "miRNA (ENSDNOG00000028420.1)". The stretch from base 17 to 87 matches the Rfam family "mir-503 microRNA precursor family". The record is from RNAcentral. Lineage: Eukaryota; Metazoa; Chordata; Mammalia; Cingulata; Dasypodidae.